CUGCUGAGGAGCGAUAAAAUGUACGUGGCCGUCAAUGCCGGCUGCGGUCAGUAUGAGGUGCUCACCUGAAAUAGCAUCGGUAGAAGGGCCUGUGCACAGUGUCGGGGUCACACCUUCCAUGACAUUGGGGUUACCGGCCUUGCCUAUACCUGCUAUCUUGCCAUCCUUGACACCGACGUCGGCUUUGACUACGCCUAUGAUAGGGUCGAUAAUGGUGACAUUGGUUAUGACGAGAUCAAGCGAACCGCCAUCGCUGGUGAUGGUAUUGGCUGUGCCCAUGCCGUCACG
This 288-nucleotide small RNA is filed under the name human gut metagenome. Its description in RNAcentral is "5' ureB small RNA". It matches the Rfam family "5' ureB small RNA". The record is from RNAcentral.